AUUGCGAAAAUGGUCCAUUUUGAAGAAAUAAAUGGAUGCUGCCGUUUUUCAAAUCAAAUAAACCCCUUUUCUCAACUCCUAAAAAAUAAUUCCCCUCUGCCAUUCCCAAAAUGUGCCGCAGCAGCACCUCUGCUCUCCAUCAUUUCCGACCCACUUCGCUCCGACAACCGCGAAACGAAAGGGUUUUCCAACGACGCCGCGAGGAAACACUAGAGGAGACGUGUAUAACGUGUGAGGCUACUGAACGCGAGAGAAGCGACGUGGGGCGACAUUCGCGGAGGCAUGCGAGGGAGUCGUGCAGCGCGUCCUAGGGUUUCUGCCUCAUUUGCCAAAAACAUCUUGUGGGCCAAUUGGGCCAAUUUCUGCUGUUUGGGAUAAGCUAUUGGGCCGAUUGGGUUAUUUGUAAAAAUGGAUUGUUUAUUGUAUUUGUUAUUUUAAGGUUUAUACAUUGGGCCCGGGCUAAAAUGGCCUAUUACAUCUAGUAAUGCUUCAUAACCCUGUUUUAGUGACGGACACGGGUUAGGGGUGUUACAAUAACUACUCAUGAUUUCAAAAGACGCAGCUUUGACAGUUGUGUUUAUUUUAAGAAAAACAGUUAUGGUUCUUUUAUGUA
Long non-coding RNA from Gossypium raimondii (Peruvian cotton), 613 nucleotides. RefSeq lists it as uncharacterized. NCBI's taxonomy places the organism in Eukaryota, Viridiplantae, Streptophyta, Magnoliopsida, Malvales, Malvaceae. The record is from RefSeq and is a predicted model, not a curated record. The transcript is spliced from 2 exons.